RNAcentral lists this ribosomal RNA (253 nucleotides) under uncultured bacterium. RNAcentral's name for it is "partial 16S ribosomal RNA". It matches the Rfam family "Bacterial small subunit ribosomal RNA", at positions 524 to 776 of the family's 1533-position model. The record is from RNAcentral.
UACGAAGGGUGCAAACGUUGCUCGGAAUUAUUGGGCGUAAAGCGCACGUAGGCGGCUUUGCAAGUCGGAUGUGAAAUCCCUCGGCUCAACCAAGGAAGUGCAUCCGAAACUGCAGAGCUUGAGUACCAAAGAGGAUCGCGGAAUUCCCGGUGUAGAGGUGAAAUUCGUAGAUAUCGGGAGGAACACCAGUGGCGAAGGCGGCGAUCUGGGUCGAUACUGACGCUGAGGUGCGAAAGCGUGGGGAGCAAACAGG